Molecule: ribosomal RNA, 406 nt
Filed under: uncultured bacterium
Lineage: Bacteria
Description: partial 16S ribosomal RNA
Rfam family: Bacterial small subunit ribosomal RNA
Source: RNAcentral
AUUGAACGAUGGCGGCAUGCCUAACACAUGCAAGUCGAACGAGUGGCGGACGGGUGAGUAAUGUCUGGGAAACUGCCUGAUGGAGGGGGCUAACUACUGGAAACGGUAGCUAAUACCGCAUACCAUCGGAUGUGCCCAGAUGGGAUUAGCUAGGUGGUGGGGUAACGGAUCACCAAGACGACGAUCCCUAGCUGGUCUGAGAGGAUGACCAGCCACACGGGAACUGAGACACGGUCCAGCCUCCUACGGGAGGCAGCAGUGGGGAAUAUUGCACAAUGGGCGCAAGCCUGAUGCAGCCAUGCCGCGUGUAUGAAGAAGGCCUUCGGGUUGUAAAGUACUUUCAGCGGGGAGGCGUUACCCGCAGAAGAAGCACCGGCUAACUCCGUGCCAGCAGCCGCGGUAAUUC